This 72-nucleotide transfer RNA is filed under the name Planctomycetota bacterium. Its description in RNAcentral is "Planctomycetes bacterium tRNA-Arg". It matches the Rfam family "tRNA". From Rfam's summary of the family: Transfer RNA (tRNA) molecules are approximately 80 nucleotides in length. Their secondary structure includes four short double-helical elements and three loops (D, anti-codon, and T loops). Further hydrogen bonds mediate the characteristic L-shaped molecular structure. tRNAs have two regions of fundamental functional importance: the anti-codon, which is responsible for specific mRNA codon recognition, and the 3' end, to which the tRNAs corresponding amino acid is attached (by aminoacyl-tRNA synthetases). tRNAs cope with the degeneracy of the genetic code in two manners: having more than one tRNA (with a specific anti-codon) for a particular amino acid; and 'wobble' base-pairing, i.e. permitting non-standard base-pairing at the 3rd anti-codon position. Lineage: Bacteria; Pseudomonadati; Planctomycetota. The record is from RNAcentral.
GGCCCUGUAGCUUAGCGGAAGAGCACUGGUUUCCUAAACCGGAGGUCGCAGGUUCGAAUCCUGCCAGGGUCG